Molecule: ribosomal RNA, 460 nt
Filed under: uncultured bacterium
Lineage: Bacteria
Description: partial 16S ribosomal RNA
Rfam family: Bacterial small subunit ribosomal RNA
Source: RNAcentral
CCUACGGGAGGCAGCAGUGAGGAAUAUUGGUCAAUGGUCGUAAGGCUGAACCAGCCAAGUCGCGUGAGGGAGGAAGGUUCAAUGGUUUGUAAACUUCUUUUAUCGGGGCAUAAAGGUAUGCACGUGUGGAUAUUUGCAUGUACCUUAUGAAUAAGCAUCGGCUAACUCCGUGCCAGCAGCCGCGGUAAUACGGCGGAUGCGAGCGUUAUCCGGAUUUAUUGGGUUUAAAGGGUGCGUAGGUGGUUUGUUAACGCAGCGGUGAAAGUUUGGGGCUCAACCAUAAAAUUGCCGGUGAAACUGGCAGACUUGAGUGGGGUAGAGGUAUGCGGAAUGCGUGGUGUAGCGGUGAAAUGCAUAGAUAUCACGAAGAACUCCGAUUGCGAAGGCAGCUUACUAAGCCAUAACUGACACUGAAGCACGAAAGCGUGGGGAUCAAACAGGAUUAGAUACCCCGGUAGUC